This 305-nucleotide ribosomal RNA is filed under the name uncultured bacterium. RNAcentral describes it as "bacterial SSU rRNA". It matches the Rfam family "Bacterial small subunit ribosomal RNA", at positions 336 to 633 of the family's 1533-position model. The record is from RNAcentral.
UUCCUACGGGACGCAGCAGUAGGGAAUCUUCGGCAAUGGGCGAAAGCCUGACCGAGCAACGCCGCGUGAAUGAAGAAGGCCUUCGGGUUGUAAAAUUCUGUUAUAAGGGAAGAAAGGUGAUUGGAGGAAAUGACUAUCAAUUGACGGUACCUUAUGAGAAAGCCACGGCUAACUACGUGCCAGCAGCCGCGGUAAUACGUAGGUGGCAAGCGUUAUCCGGAAUUAUUGGGCGUAAAGAGCGCGCUGUUGGUUAAUUAAGUCUGAUGUGAAAGCCGACGGCUUAACCGUGAAGGGUCAUAGGAAAG